Molecule: unclassified non-coding RNA, 808 nt
Filed under: Leishmania donovani
Lineage: Eukaryota; Euglenozoa; Kinetoplastea; Trypanosomatida; Trypanosomatidae
Description: gene:unknown
Source: RNAcentral
CUCGUUUGUGUUCCUUUACAGUGUUGCGUGGCUGCUGGCAGCGACACCGCGCUGUUCUGUGUUCGUGCGUGUCGCUCCGUGGACUCUCUGCAACUUGCGCUACGUCGCCCCUCACAGAGUAAAGCGGAGCAUGCGAAAACGCGCUCACCAGAAGCGUAGAUCAGCAGCUUCGGCACCAUCCGCGGGAAGACGCAGACGCGCAAAAAGGCGAUACAGAGGAACCUCGACCCCUUCCUCACUCUCAGCUCUGGAGUGCUCGUUUCAGCUGUAGGAGCCACGAGCUGCAGCGCGCGAGCAGCAGUCGUUUAUGGUGGUACUCGUCGUCGUCGCCUCCCCCUCUGAAGCCACGUUGCAGCGCUGGCGACGACGAAGCUGUCAUUGAUCAACUGGUGUCGCCCCCUGAAGCCCUUCGUGCACCUGUCGCCUGGCAUCACGUCGGUGGCGCUGGGGGUGUACGGAAGGUGUCUGUGAGAGAGCCGAUUGAGUGUGUUAUUCAAAGCACUGUUAGUGCGGUCAGGAAGCGUUUUUGUUUGCUGCACCCCUCCUUCUUCCUCUUACGCGGCGGACCUCUUUCACUUUUUGUUGCCCUUGGUUACGGUAGUGCCGUGUGCCGUGUGUCGCUCCUGUUGCGUUUGUGUGCUUCGUAUUGCUCUGUGCUUGCUUAACGAUCUUCUUUCUGGGUGGUGUGGACGGGUGGGAGCCUAUUUCAUCGCGGAGCCGAAGAGAAAGCCUCUCCAGGCACCUACGCGUCUUUAUUGAAGCCGUCAGUGUCAUCUCCUGAGCUGUGUGUUUCCCUUCCAAACGAACG